Molecule: ribosomal RNA, 497 nt
Filed under: uncultured bacterium
Lineage: Bacteria
Description: partial 16S ribosomal RNA
Rfam family: Bacterial small subunit ribosomal RNA
Source: RNAcentral
GAUGAACGCUGGCGGCGUGCCUAAUACAUGCAAGUCGAGCUAACAGAUAAUGAUCUUGCUCCUUUGACGUUAGCGGCGGACUGGUGAGUAACACGUUUAUAACCUACCUCUAUUACUGGGAUAACUUCGUGAAACCGUAUCUAAUACCGGAUAACAUAUUGAUCCUCAUUUUUCAUUUUUUAAAUUCGGCUUUUCUGUCACUUAUACAUGUAUCCUCGCCUUAUUAUCUAGUUGGUAAGGUAACGUCUUACCAAGGCAACGAUAAGUAGCCGACCUGAGAGGGUGAUCGGCCACACUGGAAAGGAGACACGGACCAGACGAAUAAGGGAGGCAGCAGUAGGGAAUGGUCAGCAAUGGGCGAAAGCAUGACGGAGCAAAGCCGCGUGAGUGAUGAAGGACUUCGGAGCGUAAAAAUCUGUUAUCAGGGAAGAAAAAAAGAGUAAGAAAAAGUGCACAGAGUGACGGUACCGGAUAAGAAAGCAACGGAUAACUACGUG